Lutra lutra (Eurasian river otter) is the source of this 75-nucleotide non-coding RNA. NCBI's taxonomy places the organism in Eukaryota, Metazoa, Chordata, Mammalia, Carnivora, Mustelidae. The record is from the annotation of a RefSeq genome assembly.
GCCUGGCUGGCUCAGUUGGUAGAGCAUGGGACUCUCUUAAUCUCAAGGUUGUGAGUUCAAGCCCCACAUUGGGCA